RNAcentral lists this ribosomal RNA (433 nucleotides) under uncultured bacterium. RNAcentral's name for it is "partial 16S ribosomal RNA". It matches the Rfam family "Bacterial small subunit ribosomal RNA", at positions 29 to 507 of the family's 1533-position model. The record is from RNAcentral.
AACGAACGCUGGCAGCAUGCCUAACACAUGCAAGUCGAACGAGACCUUCGGGUCUAGUGGCGCACGGGUGCGUAACGCGUGGGAACCUGCCCUUAGGUUCGGAAUAACUCCCCGAAAGGGGUGCUAAUACCGGAUAAUGUCUUCGGACCAAAGAUUUAUCGCCUUUGGAUGGGCCCGCGUUGGAUUAGCUAGUUGGUAGGGUAAAAGCCUACCAAGGCGACGAUCCAUAGCUGGUCUGAGAGGAUGAUCAGCCACACUGGGACUGAGACACGGCCCAGACUCCUACGGGAGGCAGCAGUGGGGAAUAUUGGACAAUGGGCGAAAGCCUGAUCCAGCAAUGCCGCGUGAGUGAUGAGGGCCUUAGGGUUGUAAAGCUCUUUUACCCGGGAUGAUAAUGACAGUACCGGGAGAAUAAGCUCCGGCUAACUCCGUG